This 468-nucleotide ribosomal RNA is filed under the name uncultured bacterium. Its description in RNAcentral is "partial 16S ribosomal RNA". It matches the Rfam family "Bacterial small subunit ribosomal RNA", at positions 28 to 507 of the family's 1533-position model. The record is from RNAcentral.
GACGAACGCUGGCGGCGUGCUUAACACAUGCAAGUCGAACGGAAAGGCCCUGCUUUUGUGGGGUGCUCGAGUGGCGAACGGGUGAGUAACACGUGAGUAACCUGCCCUUGACUUUGGGAUAACUUCAGGAAACUGGGGCUAAUACCGGAUAGGAGCUCCUGCUGCAUGGUGGGGGUUGGAAAGUUUCGGCGGUUGGGGAUGGACUCGCGGCUUAUCAGCUUGUUGGUGGGGUAGUGGCUUACCAAGGCUUUGACGGGUAGCCGGCCUGAGAGGGUGACCGGCCAAAUUGGGACUUGGGUACCGCCCAGACUCCUACGGGGGGCAGCAGUGGGGAAUAUUGCAACAAGGGCGGAAGCCUGAUGCCGCAACGCCGCGUGCGGGAUGACGGCCUUCGGGUUGUAAACCGCUUUCGCCUGUGACGAAGCGUGAGUGACGGUAAUGGGUAAAGAAGCACCGGCUAACUACGUG